This 110-nucleotide transfer RNA is filed under the name Sphingobacteriales bacterium. Its description in RNAcentral is "tRNA-OTHER". The record is from RNAcentral. Lineage: Bacteria; Pseudomonadati; Bacteroidota; Sphingobacteriia; Sphingobacteriales. RNAcentral also lists the same sequence under 1 other name.
AGUGAGGAAAACGGCUUAAACCACACUAAAACCAUCUUUUUAUUAAUGUAACUAUUUGUAAAUCAGUUUUCAUAACCCUGAGGUCACGGGUUCAAUUCCCGUCCUCGCUA